AGAAAGUACAAGGAUGCGUUGAAGACCAUCCGCUCUCCAGUGAGCUCCUCUGCCUCGACGUCCACCAGCUCUGGCGCCAGAGGUCCUGUCAUCGAAUUGUCAUUGUUUAUGCAUCAUAAUCGAUCUCAGUAAUUCAAGUAGAAGAAGAAGAUCAUUAUGAAACAGUGAGGAAGAGGAAGGGUGGCAGUGUUACCUGAUAAUAAAUCGGUGAGAGAAAGCUUUUGGGAGGAGGGAGGGAGAGAGAGAUUGGUUGGUGCCAAAUGGUGAAUUAAAUCUCAAUCUUGGAUUUGUGAUGUAUUGUCUGAGGAGGGAGGGAGAGAGAGAAAUUGGGUUGUGGGUCGAAGGAGGAGGGAGGGAGGGAGAGAAACUGGGUUGUGGGUCGGAGGAGGGGGGACAGGGUUGGUGUGUGGUGGUCGUGAGUGUUUGGGGCGGGGGGCAGCGCGAGGAACCGUCACUGGGUUAGUAGUGAGUGAAAAGACUAAAUUACCCUUUAAAAAUUAAUAAUGGCACAAGAGUUAAUGGUGUUAUUAACGGCAUGUACAAAAAUGUGUCGGGUUUUGAACCUCAUGUACCAUUGCGAUUUUUUGUAAAGUAUAUAAACCUUAAUUCUCAGUGGCCUA
Long non-coding RNA from Rosa chinensis, 620 nucleotides. RefSeq lists it as uncharacterized. NCBI's taxonomy places the organism in Eukaryota, Viridiplantae, Streptophyta, Magnoliopsida, Rosales, Rosaceae. The transcript is spliced from 2 exons. The record is from RefSeq and is a predicted model, not a curated record.